Molecule: ribosomal RNA, 249 nt
Filed under: uncultured bacterium
Lineage: Bacteria
Description: partial 16S ribosomal RNA
Rfam family: Bacterial small subunit ribosomal RNA
Source: RNAcentral
UACGUAGGGGGGCGAGCGUUGUCCGGAUUUAUUGGGCGUAAAGAGCGUGUAGGCGGCCAGGUAGGUCUGCUGUGAAAACUCGAGGCUCAACCUCGAGACGUCGGCGGAAACCAUCUGGCUAGAGUCCGGAAGAGGAGAGUGGAAUUCCUGGUGUAGCGGUGAAUGCGCAGAUAUCAGGAAGAACACCCGUGGCGAAGGCGGCUCUCUGGGACGGUACUGACGCUGAGACGCGAAAGCGUGGGGAGCGAA